This 369-nucleotide ribosomal RNA is filed under the name uncultured organism. Its description in RNAcentral is "partial 16S ribosomal RNA". It matches the Rfam family "Bacterial small subunit ribosomal RNA", at positions 527 to 896 of the family's 1533-position model. The record is from RNAcentral.
GGAGGGUGCAAGCGUUAAUCGGAUUGACUGGGCGUAAAGGGCGCGUAGGCGGUAAGAUAAGUCGAGUGUUAAAAACCCGAGCUCAACUUGGGGAAUGCAUUCGAAACUAUCUCACUAGAGUACAGUAGAGGAGAGCGGAAUUUCCGGUGUAGCGGUGAAAUGCGUAGAUAUCGGAAGGAACACCAGUGGCGAAGGCGGCUCUCUGGACUGAAACUGACGCUGAGGCGCGAAAGCGUGGGGAGCAAACAGGGAUUAGAUACCCUGGUAGUCCACGCUGUAAACGAUGAGAACUAGCUGUUGGCACGUUUAGUGUCAGUAGCGUAGCUAACGCGAUAAGUUCUCCGCCUGGGGAUUACGGUCGCAAGACUA